UAUAAAUACAGCAAUUAUUUUCUAUAUCAAUCCAUAGGCUGGACCAAAUCCUUCGCAUUUCGUUUGAUUUUAAAAUCUUUCAACGAAUAUAAAAAACCUGCUGAGAACAUAUCAAGAGCCAUGGAGCAUGAGUUUUUAACCGUGACUGGAAAAUUCCGAGUUGAAUAUCCUGGUGUUCAAAGUCAACUGCGGCGCAAUAUCUCCCAAGUUUUGAACCAAUUCCAGGCAUUGCUCAACAUGAAUUUGCUUGAUGAAAGUAAGU
Octopus sinensis (East Asian common octopus) is the source of this 262-nucleotide long non-coding RNA. RefSeq lists it as uncharacterized. NCBI's taxonomy places the organism in Eukaryota, Metazoa, Mollusca, Cephalopoda, Octopoda, Octopodidae. The record is from RefSeq and is a predicted model, not a curated record. The transcript is spliced from 3 exons.